GUGCUUGCUUCAGCAGCACAUAUACUAAAACUGGAAUGAUACAGAGAAGAUUACCCCCUUGUGCAAGAUGCCCCCUGCACAAGGAUGACACACAAAUUUGUGAAGCAUUCCAUAUUUAA
RNAcentral lists this small nuclear RNA (119 nucleotides) under Otolemur garnettii (small-eared galago). Lineage: Eukaryota; Metazoa; Chordata; Mammalia; Primates; Galagidae. The record is from RNAcentral.